RNAcentral lists this ribosomal RNA (1104 nucleotides) under Triticum aestivum (bread wheat). RNAcentral describes it as "partial small subunit ribosomal RNA". Lineage: Eukaryota; Viridiplantae; Streptophyta; Magnoliopsida; Poales; Poaceae. The record is from RNAcentral.
AUGGGCAUCCCCCAAUUCGAGACGGAAGCACCGCAUGCCAACCCCCACCCCUGCCCGCUCCACUUUCCUUUUAUUUCCGUCACGAACCCAGCAGCUCCACUUUCCUUUUAUCCGCCACCACGCCAAGCCAUCUCGGCGAAGGACAAGGCUCGGGCUGCCGCCACCGCCUCUGCCCCGGCUAUAAAGGCGCGCCCUUUGGCCGGCCGCUCCUCCUCCUCCUCUCUUCCUCCGCGCCGCGCCUCUCGCCUGCUCGCCGCGCUCUGCCCGGUCUGCUCCUCCUCCUCUUCGUCCGGGCGGUGCCUCUCUCCUCCGACCUCCCCGCCGCGCUCCGGCCGUAUGUUGCUCUUUCCAGGACCGAUAAUUCUGAUAGUAGCUGAUAGUAUGCCAAGGACUGCUCAGGGUUCCUAUCACUUUCUGUUUUACCAGCUAAGUAGUGGCCUCCUGGCUUGUAGUUGGGUAAUGCAGAGAGAGAAUCCAGGGUGGAUGGAGGCUUUCAUGAUGGCUAAUUUGAUUUGUAAUGGUUCUGAUGGUGUGCUUCUUGUGUUUGAACUAAAGCCGUGGAUCACUCAUCAACCUGGUCAGCUACCAGAACUUCCUACUGCUGAUCCUGGAAUGUUUCCGAACAUGCUCCCGAACAUGUUCAAUUUAUCAGCCCUAGGACAGUCUAACUAUUUUGUUCUUCUUUCUGCAGACGGUUGCUCUAUUCUUCAAUCAAGUUAUGGCUGCUAUCGGGGGAAACACAGUUGGUGGCAUAAUCAUCUGAAUCCAACCAUAUGGAAUGAUGCUUGGACUACUGAGGAGGAACAUGCACUGAUUAAUGCCAUCAGUGGAUCUUCACAUAAUGUGAUAGCAUGUGAUGAAGCUCUGAAAUGCAUCCUUCCUUGCUAUGAAAAAUCUAGGCAUGCCAGGAACUUCAUGAUUCCUUUCUCAAGCUGUAUGAGCCUUGGAUGCAACGCACGGUUCUUGGCGCGAGGAUCGCCAUGUGAGGCGCAGAAAUUGUUUGUGCUAAUUGUGAUUCAAUAUGGUUUCUUUGUCUUCGCUGGCAAUUCGAGCGUCUUCGACCACUCGGAGUCAAGUUCUUCAUCUGCUCCAGCAUUGGGCUAA